Molecule: non-coding RNA, 30 nt
Filed under: Rattus norvegicus (Norway rat)
Lineage: Eukaryota; Metazoa; Chordata; Mammalia; Rodentia; Muridae
Source: RNAcentral
UAUGCGGGAAUGCAUGGGCGACCGCCUCGU